UACGGGGGGAGCAAGCGUUGUUCGGAUUUACUGGGCGUAAAGCGCGUGUAGGCGGCCCGGUAAGUCCGCUGUGAAAGUCGGGGGCUCAACCCUCGAAUGCCGGUGGAUACUGUCGGGCUAGAGUGCGGAAGAGGCGAGUGGAAUUCCUGGUGUAGCGGUGAAAUGCGCAGAUAUCAGGAGGAACACCAAUUGCGAAGGCAGCUCGCUGGGACGUAACUGACGCUGAGACGCGAAAGCGUGGGGAGCAAACAGG
Molecule: ribosomal RNA, 253 nt
Filed under: uncultured bacterium
Lineage: Bacteria
Description: partial 16S ribosomal RNA
Rfam family: Bacterial small subunit ribosomal RNA
Source: RNAcentral